AUGUUAGUCGAGAAGCGUUUGCAUCUGCAUUUUACUUCGUAUCUGGCAAUGGAAUAUAAGAUACUAUAAUGUAUUAUUAUUAUUCCAUGAAACGCACAACAUAUCCUAUUGUUUCCUUCCAAAAUUCACUAUACCAAUUUUUUAUACCCAUUUUUGAAUAUUUGUGUUAAAUAAAAAAAAGAGAAAGAGAAAACCUCUAGAAAUGAAAAGAAUUUGGACCCAAACAUGAAUAACAGAUAAACUACUUGCAAACCAUGCAACAACCUGACCAGUCGCAAAAUGAUGCAAUCCCUCAAAAUAAAGUCGAUGCUUUCUCCAUCUCUGCCACGUUUUUUUCUCAAAGCUAACUCCUUUUCUUCUUCUUCUUCUUCUUCUUCUUCAUUGGAGUUUUCACCAUGGUCAGGUCUCAAGUCUUGGCGAGACAGUCCCCUCAAUGAAAACCGGUUUUGGGGACCCAAUGGCCCACAACCUCCACCACCGCAAUCACCAUUAUCUGAUGCCAAUCAGUAUGAAAUUGAACUGGGUUCUGCUUCCUCUCUUGCUGAGCUUGGUGCUCUUGUUCUCUCCACCAGUGAUCCUCUCAAAAAAUCCAAGCUUUCCCAUCUCGCUUUCGCUAAGUGGCGCAACCACAAGCUUCCCAUUGGAUCUUUUGUCCCACCUUCUACACCCGCUAGACCUCCUAAGCCUGAAUUGGUUUCCCCGAAGGAAAUUCCUGCCCCCAAAGAUUCAGGCUUACCUCUCAAUGCUUAUAUGCUCCAUAAUCUUGCUCAUGUGGAGCUAAAUGCAAUUGAUUUGGCAUGGGACACGGUUGUACGUUUUUCCCCUUUCAGUGAGACUCUUGGAGAAGGAUUCUUUGCUGACUUUGCACAUGUUGCUGAUGAUGAGAGUCGCCAUUUUGCUUGGUGCUCUCAAAGACUUGCUGACCUUGGUUUCAAGUAUGGAGAUAUGCCUGCUCAUAAUUUGUUGUGGAGGGAAUGCAAAAAAUCAUCUGACAGUGUUGCUGCACGAUUGGCAGUGAUCCCACUAGUCCAGGAGGCAAGAGGACUUGAUGCCGGGCCAAGGCUAGUGCAAAAAUUGAUUGGUUUUGGAGAUUCUAAGACAUCUAAAAUUGUGGCUAGAAUUUCUGAUGAAGAAGUUGCUCAUGUAGCUGUUGGUGUCUACUGGUUUAUCUCUGUUUGUCAGAAAGUGGGCUGUCCUCCUUCUUCCACUUUUAAAGCAUGCAGACAUAUUAAGGGAGUACAAUGUGGAGUUGAAAGGGCCCUUUAAUCAUUCGGCAAGAGAAGAAGCUGGGAUUCCCCGUGACUGGUAUGAUGCAUCAUCUACAAAUAAACAAGACAAGAAUGAGAAACGGGGCACAAACGAGCAGCUCUCUGUGGUCUGUGACUGAUCUCUCUCUCUCUCUCUCUCUCUCUCUCUGUGUAUGUGUCCCUCUCUCUCAGAUACACCUACACAUGUACACACAAGGGUAAAUGCAACUUCUGGGAGAUUAACUAUUCUUUUUAAGGGGAGAAUUAGAAUAUGAGGGCAAUUAAUGUUGCAGGUUUAUGAUAGACUUGCUUCGAUCAUCUCCAUGGAGUGUGAAAACGCAAGUUUGAAUAAGCCCCCAGUUUGAUGCUCAUUUAACAGCUGAAACUCGAGGUAUAUAUAGAACUUAUCCUGAUUUGGGGGCUUGAACAUGUGACCUUGGAAACUCAUAUACAUAACUCAACUAGCAUAGCGGUAAUGCGGGCAUAACAAGAGGGCAUGCCAUUCUGGAUUGGAAGUGUAACUGCAGCUUCAUUUUAUCCUGAGUUUGAAAGAUUCUGGCGACUUAAUGUGCUCCUGCCCUUUCCUUGACUUUCAUGUAUCUGCCGAAGUCCACUGAGCUUGGUUUAGUGUAGCUUUGCUUCAUUUUUAGCCGUGGCAUGUGUUAUUUUCUGAUAUUAGAGCAAUGAUCAUCUAUGUAAUUAUAUCCUUGAGCUGCUCAGCAUAAAUUUACCCAUAUAAUGUAGACUCUAACCGCUUCCUUAAUUCAUUUAUAAGUAGAUUUAGUCUUUCAUAUGAAA
RNA transcript from Ricinus communis (castor bean), 2045 nucleotides. RefSeq lists it as uncharacterized. The transcript has 7 exons. The record is from RefSeq and is a predicted model, not a curated record. Lineage: Eukaryota; Viridiplantae; Streptophyta; Magnoliopsida; Malpighiales; Euphorbiaceae.